ACCGAGCCUCCCGGAUUUAAAGCGGCAGGAGCUGGUUAGCCGGAUAGAAUGUGGGUGCCGAGGGCCGGUGGGGGCCACCGCAGACUUCUUUCUGUCCCUGCUCUUCAGCGUCUCUGAAACCCCUGGCAGCCUGCGGAGAAACGAUCUUUUCUUCGUCUCUCAGCUUAUUUGGGGCCUUUUUUUUUUUUUUUAACUUGGGUGGAGGAAGUGGCUUCUAGCGACGGACACACACGGUGCCAUUUGGUAUUGCGGAUGCUGGAGUCUGGUUAUUGAGUAGACAGAUGCUUGCUGGAACGUCCAGUGAAACUUUAUUUACAAAAUCAGGCGCCAGCCCUUGGGCCCUCGUUUGCGGAUAUUUUUAAAAUAGCUUUAAAUAUUAAUAAGCGUAUUAAAAUUGCCUUAAAUGUUAGUUAUCUUAAAUAUUGUUAGAUUAAUAUUAAUUAAUCUUGAUUGGCGACAUUUUUAGCGUCCCAUAAAUUUUGCUCCUUGCUGUGAUCUGGGUCCUGCUUCUUACUUGGCCCAUCUAUCCAUCCUGGAGUAGAAAAGUCCUGAAGCAUCUGGCCACCUAGGUACCACCUGCGUCCUUCUGGGACUUUGUAUUUACUUACAUUUUUGUAAAAUAUAUACAUUUUUUAUUUUUGAGAGACAGGAUGUCACUCUGUCACCCAGGCUGGAGUGCAGUGGCGGCAUCAUGGUUCACUUCAGCCCUGAACUCUUGGGCUCCAGUGAUCCUCCCACCUCGGUCUCCCAAGUGGCAAGGACAACAAAUGUGUGUCACCACGCCUGGCCAAUUUUAUAUAUUAUAUUAUAUUAUAUUAUAUUAUAUUAUAUUAUAUUAUAUUAUAUUAUAUUUAUUUUGAGACGGAGUCUCGCUCUGUCACCCAGGCUGGAGUGCAGUGGCACCAUAUCGGCUCCCUGCAACCUCAGCCUCCUGGGUUCAAGCAAUUCUCCUGCCUCAGCCUCCCGAGUAGCUGGGACUACAGGCACGUGCCACCACGCCUGGCUAAUUUUUUGCAUUUUCAGUAGAGAUGGGGUUUCACCGUGUUAGCCAGGAUGGUCUCGAUCUCCUGACCUCGUGAUCUGCCUGCCUCAGCCUCCCAAAGUGCUGGGAUUACAGGCGUGAGCCACAGUGCCUGGCCUGUAUUAUAUUUAUUUUGAGACAGGGUCUUACCCUGUCGCUCAGGCUGGAGUGCAGUGGUGCUAUCUCAGCUCACCGCAACCUCCUCCUCCCGGCUCAAGCUGAUCCUCCCGCCUCAGCCUCCCGAGUAUCUGGGACUACUUUUUGUAGAGAUGGCGUCUUGCUAUGUUGCCCAGGCUGGUCUCAAACUCUCGGUCUCAAGCUCCUGGGCUCAAGAGAUCCUCCCAUCUGGGCCUCCCAAAGUUCUUAGGAUUACAGACGUGAGCUACUGUGCCUGGCUAGGGAAUAUUUUUGAAAGUAGAGUUCUUGCAGGCUAAAGGAGCAGGCAGCACAGAUGAGAGGAGACAUCUGAGUUGCUUUAAAAGGAAGGGCAAAAUGUGGUGACCAGAGAGGAAAGUGAAAAGCUUUCCAGCAGGCUCACGGCAGGAAAGGAGGGUCAGGACAGGGAACUAUGUGUACAGAUAUUGAGGUACAAAUAAGGUAAGUGUAAUUUAAAAAGAGAAAAUAAGAAAAAGCUCAUUUCUUUUCUGGACAAUACUAACAGUUUGAUGCUGGAAGCUAUCUUAGAAGUUAGGAAAUUCAACCAGGGUCCUCAGAGAGCAGACUGGAAGUCAGGAUGUGGGGAUGAGACACGGGGCUGGCAGACAGCAAGGGUGACAGUGCUUGUGCUUACUCCGCUUGUGCCUGCUGUAGCUCAGUUCUGUGACUGCCCUGGCAUUUUCUCAAUUGUGUGGUGAAUUAAUUUGUUUAAGUACUCCUUGUUUAGACCCUCUAUUUAAGACCUUUUUUGAACAUUUUAUGGAAUCUCCUUCCCUUGGAUCUACUUACUACGGAAAGAACAGUCCCUUAUUUUCUCAUGAGUUGAUGCCACUCUUGUUUUGGCCGUUCAGAGAUAAUAUGAUGCUGGAUGGCAUCUCAAUGUGUUACCCAGGCUGGUCUUGAACUCCUGGACUCAAUCCUCCUACCUUGGCCUCCCAAAGUGCUGGGAUUAUAGGUGUGAGUCAUCCUGUCUGGCCUAUUUUCUGAGGACUGAUUUUGUAUUUUAUUAUUAUUAUUUUAGGACCACAUAACUCUGUUUAGAAAAUGUUUCUAAUGUAUUGAGUGCUUCAAAGGUAUAUUAGUUCGAUUUCACACUGCUAUAAGGAAUUGCCUGAGGCUGAGUAAUAUAUAAAAUAAACAGGUUUAAUUGACUCAGUUCCAUAUAACUGGGGAGGCCGCAGGAAACUUACAAUCAUGGCUGAAGGUGAAGGGGAAGCAAGGCACAUCUUACUUGUUGGCAGGAGAGAGAGAGUGCAGGGGAAACUGCCACUUUUUCUUUUUUUUUUUUGGAGACAGAGUCUCACUCUGUUGCCCAGGCUGGAGUGCAGUGGCGCAAUCUUGGCUCACUGCAAGCUUGGCCUCCCGGGUUCACGUCAUUCUCCUGCCUCAGCAUCCCGAGUAGCUGGGACUACAGGCGCCCGCCACUACGCCUGGCUAAUUUUUUGUAUUUUUAGUAGAGACGAGGUUUCACGUGUUAGUCAGGAUGGUCUCGAUCUUCUGCCCUCAGGUAAUCCACCCGCCUUGGCCUCCCAAAGUGCUGGGAUUACAGGUGUGAGCCACCAUGCCCAGCCAGAAACUGCCACUUUUAAACCAUCAGAUCUCAUUGAGAACUCCCUCACUAUCACGAGAACCGCAUGAGGGAAACCACCCCCAUGAUCUGAUCACCUCCCACCAGGUCCUGCCCUCAACAUGUGGGGAUUACAAUUCAAGAUGAGAUUUGGGUCAGGAAACAGAGCCAAACCAUAUCAAGAGCCUCUGGUAACCACUGUUCUACUCAAUACUUCUAUGAGGUGAACUUCUUUGGAUUCCACAUAUGAUCAAGAUCAUGAGGAAGGAGGAGCAAGUCUUCUUUGUCAUGCUAUUAAGAAAAUACCCAGAGUCACAGCACCAUGAUCUCCUUGUGAAGCAGAACAAGUAAUAUAAAACUGAUCUAAAGAGGCCUCCCCUCUACUCUUAUCUGUCUGGUCGAGUCAUUUGGGUCCAAGUGGGCACCAUUGUGGGAGGGUGGGAGGACUCAUCACUGGGGGCCCAGGCAUCAUUGGCAUGUGGCCUCCUGUGUUAGUUUGUUCUCAUGCUGCAAAUAAAGACAACUUGAGACUGGAUAAUUUAUAAAGGAAAGAGGUUUAAUGGACUCACAGUUCCACAUGGCUAAGGAGUACUCACAAUCAUGGCGGAAGACAAAGGAAGAGCAAAGGGACAUCUUACAUGGCAGCAGGCAAGAGAGCGUGUGCAGGGGAAGUCCCCUUUAUAAAACCAUCAGAUCUCAUGAGACUUAUUCACUAUCGCGAGAACAGCAUGAGAAAAACCCACCCCCAUGAUUCAAUUACCUCCCACCGUGUCCCUCCCAUGUCAUGUGAAGAUUAUUACAACUCAAGGUCACAGGAACCUUGAUCUGUGCUUGCUGCAAGGAUCAUCAAACAUAGAGCGG
Molecule: long non-coding RNA, 3605 nt
Filed under: Homo sapiens (human)
Lineage: Eukaryota; Metazoa; Chordata; Mammalia; Primates; Hominidae
Description: non-protein coding ERICH6-AS1:18
Source: RNAcentral